This is a long non-coding RNA of Chelonia mydas (Green sea turtle), 827 nucleotides long. RefSeq lists it as uncharacterized. Lineage: Eukaryota; Metazoa; Chordata; Testudines; Cheloniidae. The record is from RefSeq and is a predicted model, not a curated record. The transcript is spliced from 3 exons.
UCCUGCUUUGAGCAGGGGCUUGGACUAGAUGACCUCCUGAGGUCCCUUCCCACCCUGAUCUUCUCUGAUUCGAGCAAUUCCCGGUGUAGAGAGAACUUGAUUUCUUUUUCUUUCUGGCCUGGCAGCUACUGAAACUCAAAACUUUAGGGGCGGAUGGGAAGUUUGUUUAUCUAUUCGCUUCGGCAAUGUCUGUGUUAGGCAGGUCUGGGUUCUGUCCCAACCAUGGAGCCUUUGGAGGGAAGUGGGGGCGGGGGGGAAGCAAAAUAAACUUUUUUUAAUUUAAAAAGCAAAACCGGUGUCCCAGUUUCGAGAGAACCCAGGGCAGAAACAAGAGGCAAAUUACCCGGGCACCCCACUGUCUUCAGGUGGGAUUUCAUUAUUCCCACACGGGGGCAUUUUUGUUUUUUUUUAAUGAAGCCAAAAUUGAGGCUGUUUUCUUCAAAGCUCCAGUUUUCUCCCGGCUGCGGGAUUAUAGCCGGGGACGCAGGAAAGCCCUCCGGAGACUCCUGGCUCCGUCUGCCCUGGAAGGGAACCUCUCAGCUGGCAAGACCGCCCCGCCGCUCUGCAUUUCAGCUCAAACGAAGUCACUCUGGACUGACACCAAGAUAAGGCAGGAAGCUUCUCUUGAUGGAUGGCUCAACCUAGAACGUUAACCCAGUGUGGAUCUAUGUCUCCUUCUACUGGCUGGACCAGGUGGAGGAGUUAUUAGGAGAGGCAACAAGCUGGAAAAACUGAUCCACAGACAAGCACAGGUGUUCCUUCCUCUGGAGUAGUGCACAGCCUCCCAAGGGAAGAUAACUUUUCCAAACCCUCUUUGCAUUGCCAAC